GCGGAGGAAAAGAAACCAACAGGGAUUGCCCCAGUAACGGCGAGUGAAGCGGCAACAGCUCAAAUUUGAAAUCUGGCCCUAGGCCCGAGUUGUAAUUUGCAGAGGAUGCUUUUGGCGCGGUGCCUUCCGAGUUCCCUGGAACGGGACGCCAUAGAGGGUGAGAGCCCCGUACGGUUGGACACCAAGCCUUUGUAAAGCUCCUUCGACGAGUCGAGUAGUUUGGGAAUGCUGCUCAAAAUGGGAGGUAUAUUUCUUCUAAAGCUAAAUAUUGGCCAGAGACCGAUAGCGCACAAGUAGAGUGAUCGAAAGAUGAAAAGCACUUUGAAAAGAGGGUUAAACAGCACGUGAAAUUGUUAAAAGGGAAGCGCUUGUGACCAGACUUGCGCCCGGUGAAUCACCCAGCUCUCGCGGCUGGGGCACUUUGCCGGCACAGGCCAGCAUCAGCUUGCCGUCGGGGACAAAAGCUUCAGGAACGUAGCUCUCUUCGGGGAGUGUUAUAGCCUGUUGCAUAAUACCCUUCGGCGGGCUGAGGUACGCGCUCCGCAAGGAUGCUGGCGUAAUGGUCAUCAGCGACCCGUCUUGAAACACGGACCAAGGAGUCAACCUUAUGUGCGAGUGUUUGGGUGUUAAACCCCUACGCGUAAUGAAAGUGAACGCAGGUGAGAGCUUCGGCGCAUCAUCGACCGAUCCUGAUGUUCUCGGAUGGAUUUGAGUAAGAGCAUAUAGGGUUGGACCCGAAAGAAGGUGAACUAUGCGUGUAUAGGGUGAAGCCAGAGGAAACUCUGGUGGAGGCUCGCAGCGGUUCUGACGUGCAAAUCGAUCGUCAAAUAUGCGCAUGGGGGCGAAAGACUAAUCGAACCUUCUAGUAGCUGG
RNAcentral lists this small RNA (873 nucleotides) under Colletotrichum spaethianum. RNAcentral's name for it is "eukaryotic LSU rRNA". It matches the Rfam family "Eukaryotic large subunit ribosomal RNA", at positions 50 to 954 of the family's 3401-position model. The record is from RNAcentral. Lineage: Eukaryota; Fungi; Ascomycota; Sordariomycetes; Glomerellales; Glomerellaceae.